CAGUCGCCGCGGUAAUACGUAGGGUGCGAGCGUUAAUCGGAAUUACUGGGCGUAAAGCGUGCGCAGGCGGUUUUGUAAGACAGGCGUGAAAUCCCCGGGCUCAACCUGGGAAUGGCGCUUGUGACUGCAAAGCUAGAGUGCGGCAGAGGGGGAUGGAAUUCCGCGUGUAGCAGUGAAAUGCGUAGAUAUGCGGAGGAACACCGAUGGCGAAGGCAAUCCCCUGGGCCUGCACUGACGCCCAUGCACGAAAGCGUGGGGAGCAAACAGGAUUAGAUACCCGCGUAGUCCCUGUCUCUUAUAC
RNAcentral lists this ribosomal RNA (301 nucleotides) under uncultured bacterium. RNAcentral's name for it is "partial 16S ribosomal RNA". It matches the Rfam family "Bacterial small subunit ribosomal RNA", at positions 509 to 807 of the family's 1533-position model. The record is from RNAcentral.